This 23-nucleotide microRNA is filed under the name Macacine gammaherpesvirus 4 (Rhesus lymphocryptovirus). Its description in RNAcentral is "rlcv-miR-rL1-14-5p". Its record names the gene rlcv-miR-rL1-14-5p. The record is from miRBase by way of RNAcentral. Lineage: Duplodnaviria; Heunggongvirae; Peploviricota; Herviviricetes; Herpesvirales; Orthoherpesviridae.
UCGGACGGUCUGGUGCGCUUGAU